This 499-nucleotide ribosomal RNA is filed under the name uncultured bacterium. RNAcentral's name for it is "partial 16S ribosomal RNA". It matches the Rfam family "Bacterial small subunit ribosomal RNA", at positions 899 to 1397 of the family's 1533-position model. The record is from RNAcentral.
ACUCAAAUGAAUUGACGGGGACCCGCACAAGCAGUGGAGCAUGUGGUUUAAUUCGAUGCAACGCGAAGAACCUUACCCAGGCUUGACAUGCAGUAGACAGGUUUAGAGAUAGACCCUUCCUUCGGGACUGCUGCACAGGUGCUGCAUGGCUGUCGUCAGCUCGUGCCGUGAGGUGUUGGGUUAAGUCCCGCAACGAGCGCAACCCUUAUCGUUAGUUGCCAACAUGUAAAGAUGGGAACUCUAACGAGACUGCCUGGGUUAACCAGGAGGAAGGUGAGGAUGACGUCAAGUCCGCAUGGCCCUUAUGUCUGGGGCUACACACGUGCUACAAUGGUCGGUACAGAAGGCAGCGAAGCCGCGAGGUGGAGCAAAUCCUGUAAAGCCGAUCUCAGUUCAGAUUGUAGUCUGCAACUCGACUACAUGAAGACGGAAUUGCUAGUAAUGGCGUGUCAGCAACAACGCCGUGAAUACGUUCCCGGGUCUUGUACACACCGCCCGU